GGUCCACCCCCUCCGCCCCCCGCCCCCGGGCAGGGGAGCUCCGGGGUCCCCGGGCCGCGCUCCCCGCCACCCCCCGCCCCCCGGCGCCGGCCCAGCCCCCUCCACUGGAAACUCGUUGCCCUCGCCCGCCACUCGGCCCGGGAUCCUGGUUGCGCGUGGACCGCGCGUCCCGCUCUCCGCCGCCUCUCCCGGACUCCGAAACGCGCGGCGGACGGCCCCCUCCCCCACCGCCGAGACGGGGUGCGCCCGCCCACGUGUCGCCCCUUGCCCAGUCGGGUCCGUCCCUCGGGCUCCCGGGGCCGGAGGAUCCGGAGCGAGUUGGUCAAAGGCGAGGAAAGGGACCAGGGCGGAUCCGCUUCCCCCUCCCCGGGAACGGGCGGGGGAGGGGCCGCCGCCCCCUCCCCGAAGCUCCCGCCCCUCGCUUCCCCGAGCGCCGAGCGGAAAUUACCCCCUCCCCCCGCGGCUCUGACCUGGGGACGUGGGCGGGGCCUCGGCGCUCGGCCCCCCGCCCCCGGCCCCUCUCCCGCCUUCCCGCCCGGAUCCGAACGCUGCGCCCCAAACAAAGUUCCGAGCCCCGAACCCGGCGCCGCGAGAGCCGCGGUCGCCGGGCUGGGUGGGGCGGGCGGGAGGGGACUCCACCUGUCUGCCCCCGCGCCCGGGAGGGAGACGGGGAGCGUUCGGAUCUCCGCCCGGUCACUCCCUCCCGGAGACGUCCCCUCUGCGGUCCGCUCGGGUCUGCUCCCGCUACCACUCCUCCUCCUCCCCUUCACCCCUCCCUCUCUCCUGGGGUCAGCUUGGGCCGGAGCCGCGCGUCCCCCCAGGACCCCGGGACGGUGUCGUUGGGCAGCCGAGCCCCGGGGGCGAGCCACCCUUCCUUCUCCCGUGGGAACCCCGAAACGCGGUUUCCUGCGGAGCCCUGCUUCCCGGCCGCGGUCCCCCGUGUUCCCAGCUUCCCGGUCCCGCGCUCGCAGGGUCCUUCGGUGCCGGAUUCCCGGAGGCAGGGGAGUCUCCCGGGGCCGGGGCGGGCGAGGCCGAGACCCCUCACUAAAAAAUCUAGGGGAAGAGCGCCUUUCUUUAAAAAUCACCGGCUUGCGCGACCCCCGCCUGGAGACCCCAGAGUCCUCGGCUUCUCUUUGUCUAUCUCGGCCGUUCCCCGCCUGUCAGUCGCUAGCAGUUAACCGGGGUAGGGUGGGGAAACUCUCGCCCCCCACCCCCGCCCCGACCCCCACACGAAUAAAAAAUAACCGCACAUUUCACCCAUAA
This 1263-nucleotide long non-coding RNA is filed under the name Canis lupus familiaris (dog). Its description in RNAcentral is "lncRNA (ENSCAFG00040005587.1)". Lineage: Eukaryota; Metazoa; Chordata; Mammalia; Carnivora; Canidae. The record is from RNAcentral.